AUAAGUGUCAUCUAUCCUACACAGCCUUUCCCAAAGAGGCUGUUUCCAGAACUCGAAAGUGUUUAUUGUAAAUAGCUUUUUGAAAUUUCCCGUACUGUACACAAUUUGAAUGGGCACUUUGAGUUAACAAGUUUUAAAUACAUUGAUAAUUUUCUGCAAUCCAUACUGAACUUACUCCUUAUAUGCCAUUCUAUCAUUUCAAAUUUAAAUUUUAUACCACAUUUG
RNAcentral lists this unclassified non-coding RNA (225 nucleotides) under Hevea brasiliensis (rubber tree). The record is from RNAcentral. Lineage: Eukaryota; Viridiplantae; Streptophyta; Magnoliopsida; Malpighiales; Euphorbiaceae.